GUAGGGAAUAUUGGGCAAUGGUCGGAAGACUGACCCAGCCAUGCCGCGUGCAGGAAGACGGCCCUCUGGGUUGUAAACUGCUUUUAUCUGGGAAGAAAAAGGCCAUGCGUGGCAAAUUGCCGGUACCAGAUGAAUAAGCACCGGCUAACUCCGUGCCAGCAGCCGCGGUAAUACGGAGGGUGCGAGCGUUGUCCGGAUUUAUUGGGUUUAAAGGGUGCGUAGGCAGCUGAUUAAGUCAGCGGUGAAAGACUUCGGCUUAACCGGAGCAGUGCCGUUGAUACUGGUUGGCUUGAGUGUCGGAGGGGUACAUGGAAUUGAUGGUGUAGCGGUGAAAUGCAUAGAUACCAUCAGGAACACCGAUAGCGAAGGCAUUGUACUGGCCGACAACUGACGCUGAUGCACGAAAGUGUGGGGAUCGAACAGGAUUAGAAACCCCGGUAGUCC
This 444-nucleotide ribosomal RNA is filed under the name uncultured bacterium. RNAcentral's name for it is "partial 16S ribosomal RNA". It matches the Rfam family "Bacterial small subunit ribosomal RNA", at positions 354 to 796 of the family's 1533-position model. The record is from RNAcentral.